UCAAGCGUAAAAGGGCAUUCAGGGGAUGCCUUGGCGCCAGGAGUCGAUGAAGGACGUAGUUGGUUGCGAUAAGCGACGGUUAGCCGCCAACAGGCUUUAACCCGUCGAUUUCCGAAUCGGAAAACCGGUCGUGUGGAAACGCACGUCAUCAUACGCUGAAUUCAUAGGCGUGUGAGGGUAACCAGGAGAAUUGAAACAUCUUAGUAUCCUGAGGAAAAGAAAGCAGAGCGAUUCCCUUAGUAGCGGCGAGCGAAAAGGGAACAGUCUAAACCGAAUGUGUGUCAAGCUCACAGGCGUUGCUCAUUCGGUGUUGUGGGAUUUAUCCGGACCGGGCUGUGGACAGGUCGGAGAGUUAUAAAAGUAUUAUCUAGCCGAAGGACCUGGGAAGGUCCGCCGUAGAGGGUGAGAGCCCCGUAGGCGAAAGGUUUUGCUCUCUCUGGGAUAAAUUCCCAAGUAGCGCGGGGCACGUGAAACCUUGCGUGAAUCUGGGUGGACCAUCAUCCAAGACUAAAUACUCCCUGGCGACCGAUAGUGAACCAGUACCGUGAGGGAAAGGUGAAAAGAACCCCUGUUAGGGGAGUUCAAAGAACCUGAAACUGGAUGCCUACAAUCAGUGGGAGCCCUAUGUUUUCGGACACGGGUGACCGCUUACCUUUUGCAUAAUGAGCCGGCGAGUUAUGGUGUGUUGCAAGGUUAAGCCUUUUGGUGUAGCCGAAGCGAAAGCGAGUCUUAAUUGGGCGAUUUAGUUGCACGCUGUAGACCCGAAGCUGAGUGAUCUAUCCAUGGCCAGGAUAAAGCGGGGGUAACACCUCGUGGAGGUCCGAACCAGUAUACGUUGAAAAGUAUUUGGAUGAGCUGUGGAUAGGGGUGAAAGGCCAACCAAACUCAGCAAUAGCUGGUUCUCCCCGAAAUAUAUUUAGGUAUAGCCUUAUGUAAUAAUCAGUGGCCGUAGGGCGCUGGAUGGACUAGGGGCCUCACCAGGCUACCAAACCCAACCAAUCUUCGAAGACCAUUGAUCGUAUCAUGGGAGUCAGACUGUGGGUGAUAAGGUCCAUAGUCGAAAGGGAAACAGCCCAGAUCGCCAGCUAAGGUCCCUAAGUGCAGACUAAGUGGAGAAGGUUGUAGAAAUGCAUAGACAGCCAGGAGGUUGGCUUAGAGGCAGCCAUCCUUUAAAGAUAGCGUAAUAGCUCACUGGUCAAGUGCAUCUGCGCCGAAAAUUCAACGGGGCUAAAGUCUGUCACCGAAGCUGCGGAUUUGCAGGAUUUCCUGCGAGUGGUAGGGGAGCGUUCCAUGUGGGAUGAAGGUCGACUGUAAGGACGGCUGGACUUCAUGGAAGUGAGCAUGUCGGCAUGAGUAACGAUAAAACGGGUGAGAAACCCGUUCGCCGAAAACCCAAGGGUUCCUGAGGAAGGGUAAUCCGCUCAGGGUUAGUCGGUCCCUAAGGCGAGGUCGAAAGGCGUAGCUAAUGGGAAACAGGUUAAUAUUCCUGUACUAUCUGUAUGGCGUUAUCACGAUGGGGUGACGCGGCAGGGUAGGUCAGCCAGGCGAUGGUCGUCCUGGUUUAAGCGCGUAGGAGGGUUUCCCAGGCAAAUCCGGGAAGCUAUUAACUCCGAGACGUUAUGAGGCCCUUAGCCUACGGGCAAGGGGUAACUGAUUUAUCCCAUACCGCCGAGAAAAACCUCUAAGGAGUCAUGCGGGUAACCGUACCCUAAACCGACACAGGUGGGUGAGGAGAGAAUCCUAAGGCGCUUGAGAUAACUCUGGUUAAGGAACUCGGCAAAAUAGCUCCGUAACUUCGGGAGAAGGAGUGCCCUCAUUACGUGAAAUCCUUCGCGGGUGGAGCGGAAGAGGGUUGCAGUGAAAUGGUAGCCGCGACUGUUUACUAAAAACACAGGUCUCUGCUAAGUCGUAAGACGAUGUAUAGGGACUGACGCCUGCCCGGUGCCGGAAGGUUAAAAGGAGAGGUUAGCUUUCGAGCGAAGCUUUGAAUUGAAGCCCCGGUAAACGGCGGCCGUAACUAUAACGGUCCUAAGGUAGCGAAAUUCCUUGUCGGGUAAGUUCCGACCUGCACGAAUGGCGUAACGAUGGCUACACUGUCUCAACCAGGGACUCAGUGAAAUUGAAAUUCCGGGGAAAGUGCCGGAUACCCGCGACUGGACGGAAAGACCCCGUGCACCUUUACUAUAACCUGAUACUGAAAUUUGACUCAUUAUGUGUAGGAUAGGUGGGAGGCUUUGAAGCCAGAGCGCUAGUUUUGGUGGAGCCAACCUUGAAAUACCACCCUUGAUGAUUUGGCUUUCUAACCUUGAUCCUUGAAUCAGGAUUAGGAACACUGUCAGGCGGGUAGUUUGACUGGGGCGGUCGCCUCCUAAAAUGUAACGGAGGCGCGCAAAGGUUCUCUCAGGCUGAUUGGAAACCAGCUGUCGAGUGUAAAGGCAAAAGAGAGCUUGACUGCGAGACUUACAAGUCGAGCAGGUACGAAAGUAGGCCUUAGUGAUCCGGUGGUUCCGUAUGGAAGGGCCAUCGCUCAACGGAUAAAAGGUACGCCGGGGAUAACAGGCUGAUCGCGUCCAAGAGUCCAUAUCGACGACGCGGUUUGGCACCUCGAUGUCGGCUCAUCGCAUCCUGGGGCUGGAGAAGGUCCCAAGGGUUGGUCUGUUCGCCCAUUAAAGCGGUACGCGAGCUGGGUUUAGAACGUCGUGAGACAGUUCGGUCCCUAUCCAUCGUGGGCGUAGGAUAUUUGAGAGGAUCUGUCCCUAGUACGAGAGGACCGGGAUGGACUGACCUCUAGUGUUCCGGUUGUUCCGCCAGGAGCAUCGCCGGGUAGCUACGUUGGGAAUGGAUAACCGCUGAAAGCAUCUAAGCGGGAAACCAACCUCGAGAUUAGAUAUCCCUAUUUAGACUCCUUGAAGACUACAAGGUUGAUAGGCCGGGCGUGGAAGCGCAGCAAUGUGUGAAGCUUACCGGUACUAAUAAGUCGAUUGGCUUGAU
Molecule: ribosomal RNA, 2991 nt
Filed under: marine eukaryotic metagenome
Description: Bacterial large subunit ribosomal RNA
Rfam family: Bacterial large subunit ribosomal RNA
Source: RNAcentral